GAUUAUAUGAGCGUUUAUUUUUAUUAUUUUAUUAUGGUUAAAUAGUAUUAUGAGUGAAAUUUUUUUUGUUAUGAUAGUGGAUAUGUACUGUGGGGGAAGUUGAGUUUAUUUGUUAAUAAUAUUAGGUUGUUUAUUACCUUUUGUAUUAGGGUUUAUUAAUGUGAUUAGAUAUUGAGGUUGUAUCUCGAUGAAUAUCGGGCUAUUAUUUAUGGUGUUGAAUUUAUUGCAUAAGAUUAAUUAGUAUUUAAUAGUUAUGAAAUAUUAUUCAAGUUAUUGUUUAUCUAGUUUUCUAAGAGGUUUAAUAUUAGAUAUUUGUAUUAAGACUGUGAGUAGGGAUUAGCUUAUUUGCUGUUUAUAUGUGAUUUUAUUAGGUUUCGUGAGUGGAGUUGAAAGUUCUUAGUUAUAUGGUGUUAUUACUGAUUGAGUAUAGUUUUUAUUUUUCUUUAAUUGUGUUGAGAUUAGGAAUGUUGGUUUAAUUUAGAUCUGAUGAUAUAAUGGUAAAAUUAGUAAUAUGGUUGUUGUAAUUGGGAAGAGUUGGAUUAAUUGAUUAUAUUGAUUUGAAAAAUUUAAGAUGAAGAAUUAGGCAAAUUAGCUUUUGACUGUUUAGCAAAAACAUUGUUUUUUGUUUGUAUAAGAAAUAUGUUCUGCCCACUGCUAUUAGGUGAAGGGCUGCAGUAUUUUGACUGUAUGAAGGUAGCAUAAUCAUUAGCUUUUUAAUUGGGAGCUGGUAUGAAGGUGAAACAGAGGUUUACUAUUUUAUUUUAAUUGGGUGAAUUUUGUCUUUAUGUGAAAAACCAUAAGUGAAUUAAAGGGACAAGAAGACCCUAGUAAGUUUUAUUCUUUAUUAUGAUGCGGAUAUAGGUUAGAAAUUAAUGCAAUUUAUUUUAGGGGGUUUGACUGGGGCGGUAUAUAAGAAACAUUAUUUAUUAUUUAACUUUUGAUGGCGAUUUAGGACCUAGUUGGUUUAGUUGAAUGGAAAAUUACUGUAGGGAUAACAGCGUAAUUUUUUUUGAGAGUUCUAAUUGACAGAAAA
This 1033-nucleotide ribosomal RNA is filed under the name Parafontaria crenata. Its description in RNAcentral is "partial large subunit ribosomal RNA". The record is from RNAcentral. Lineage: Eukaryota; Metazoa; Arthropoda; Diplopoda; Polydesmida; Xystodesmidae.